AUGGCCGUGGUGUUGAGGGUGCUGGUUAUGCCCCCUGGCCCUAGUAAUGCUAGUGCUUCACAGAGGCUGGGUUUUGGUAUUGAUGUCGCUGUUUCAGCGCUGGAGCGCGCUGAGCAUAUCUUAAGUAAUGUGUGUUCUGAGUUGCAAAAGGUCCCAACGACAGUUGAGCGUUUGAGCUGUAUCAAUGGUAUCCUUCCUGAAGGUCAUCAAUUUGACGCCGAGGAAGCUAUUGACUACAUUGAGAUGGAGAGAAUUUUAAUCGGUGAUAUGCGUGAUGGUGCCGCUAAUCUAGUUCAGAGCUCGGUUCGUCUGUUGAACAACAUGAAGCGUUUCAGAAGUACGCAAAACUCUCGCUGCAAGCCAUAUGAAGAAAGUGCAAAUGUUGUUAUCAAGUAG
Molecule: ribosomal RNA, 396 nt
Filed under: Triticum aestivum (bread wheat)
Lineage: Eukaryota; Viridiplantae; Streptophyta; Magnoliopsida; Poales; Poaceae
Description: partial small subunit ribosomal RNA
Source: RNAcentral